This 24-nucleotide non-coding RNA is filed under the name Arabidopsis thaliana (thale cress). Lineage: Eukaryota; Viridiplantae; Streptophyta; Magnoliopsida; Brassicales; Brassicaceae. The record is from RNAcentral.
ACUCAAACUCGUCCUACCAUCUAA